RNAcentral lists this ribosomal RNA (429 nucleotides) under Gemmatimonadota bacterium. RNAcentral's name for it is "Gemmatimonadetes bacterium partial 16S ribosomal RNA". It matches the Rfam family "Bacterial small subunit ribosomal RNA", at positions 355 to 776 of the family's 1533-position model. The record is from RNAcentral. Lineage: Bacteria; Pseudomonadati; Gemmatimonadota.
UAGGGAAUCUUCGGCAAUGGACGAAAGUCUGACCGAGCAACGCCGCGUGAGUGAAGAAGGUUUUCGGAUCGUAAAACUCUGUUGUUAGAGAAGAACAAGGACGUUAGUAACUGAACGUCCCCUGACGGUAUCUAACCAGAAAGCCACGGCUAACUACGUGCCAGCAGCCGCGGUAAUACGUAGGUGGCAAGCGUUGUCCGGAUUUAUUGGGCGUAAAGCGAGCGCAGGCGGUUUCUUAAGUCUGAUGUGAAAGCCCCCGGCUCAACCGGGGAGGGUCAUUGGAAACUGGGAGACUUGAGUGCAGAAGAGGAGAGUGGAAUUCGAUGUGUAGCGGUGAAAUGCGUAGAUAAAUGGAGGAACACCAGUGGCGAAGGCGGCUCUCUGGUCUGUAACUGACGCUGAGGCACGAAAGCGUGGGGAGCAAACAGG